GACGAACGCUGGCGGCGUGCUUAAUACAUGCAAGUCGAACGGAAAGGCCCUGCUUUUGUGGGGUGCUCGAGUGCCGAACGGGUGAGUAACACGUGAGUAACCUCCCCUUGACUUUGGGAUAACUUCAGGGAACUGGGGCUAAUACCGGAUAGGAGCUCCUGCUGCAUGUUGGGCGUUGGAAAGAUUCGGCGGUUGUGGAUGGACUCGCAGCUUAUCAGCUUGUUGGUGUGGUAGUGGCUUACCAAGGCUUUGACGGGUAGCCUGCCUGAGAGGGGGACCGGGCACAAGGGGACUGAGGGACGGACCAGACGGCUACGGGACGCAGUGGGGGGGAGUAUUACACAAUGAGCGGAAGCCAGAUGCAACAACGCCGCGUGCGGGAUGACGGCUUUCGGGUGGUAAACCGCUUUCGACGGAGACGAAGCGGGAGUGACGGUAAUGGGUAAAGAAGCAACGGCUAACUACGUG
RNAcentral lists this ribosomal RNA (468 nucleotides) under uncultured bacterium. Its description in RNAcentral is "partial 16S ribosomal RNA". It matches the Rfam family "Bacterial small subunit ribosomal RNA", at positions 28 to 507 of the family's 1533-position model. The record is from RNAcentral.